Long non-coding RNA from Eubalaena glacialis (North Atlantic right whale), 165 nucleotides. RefSeq lists it as uncharacterized. The transcript has 3 exons. NCBI's taxonomy places the organism in Eukaryota, Metazoa, Chordata, Mammalia, Artiodactyla, Balaenidae. The record is from RefSeq and is a predicted model, not a curated record.
GCCGGAGCCGCUGGAGCCGGAGCCGCUGGAGCCGGUUUGGGGUCAAUCAUUCUGGGGAAGGCAGAUGCCACGUCAUUGAAGACAUCCAAGCAGCUUCACAGAGAGGUCCACAAGCUCAGAGUGCCUCAUCCUGUUCUUCAUCCUGAAUUCAGGGACUGCAGUAGC